This 937-nucleotide ribosomal RNA is filed under the name uncultured archaeon. RNAcentral describes it as "bacterial SSU rRNA". It matches the Rfam family "Archaeal small subunit ribosomal RNA", at positions 1 to 924 of the family's 1478-position model. The record is from RNAcentral.
UUCCGGUUGAUCCCGCCGGACCCGACUGCUAUUUGGGUGAGGAUAAGCCAUGCGAGUUGAAUGGGAUACCUAAAGUUCCCAUAGCAAACUGCUCAGUAACACAUGAUCAACUUACCCUAUAGAGAAAAAUAACCUCGGGAAACUGAGGAUAAUGUUUCAUAGUUGAAUUGGCUUGGAAAAGUUUUUCGACGAAAGGGGUAAAAAAAAUGGUUUUUAUCUGCUAUAGGAUAGGAUCGUGUUCGAUUAUGGUUGUUGGUGAGGUAAUGGCUCACCAAGCCGAUAAUCGAUAGGGGCCGUGAGAGCGGGAGCCCCGAGAUGGGUACUGAGACAACGACCCAGGCCUUACGAGGCGCAGCAGGCGCGAAACCUCCGCAAUACACGAAAGUGUGACGGGGUUACCCAAAGUGUUCAAUUUUGAACUGUGGUAGGUGAGUAAUGUUCCCUACUAGAAAGGAGAGGGCAAGGCUGGUGCCAGCCGCCGCGGUAAAACCAGCUCUUCAAGUGGUCGGGAUAAUUAUUGGGCUUAAAGUGUCCGUAGCCGGUUUAGUAAGUUCCUGGUAAAAUCGGGUAGCUUAACUAUCUAUAUGCUAGGAAUACUACUAUACUAGAGGGCGGGAGAGGUCUGAGGUACUACAGGGGUAGGGGUGAAAUCUUAUAAUCCUUGUUGGACCACCAGUGGCGAAGGCGUCAGACUGGAACGCGCCUGACGGUGAGGGACGAAAGCCAGGGGAGCGAACCGGAUUAGAUACCCGGGUAGUCCUGGCCGUAAACGAUGCAUACUAGGUGAUGGCACGGCCAUGAGCCGUGUCAGUGCCGUAGGGAAACCGUUAAGUGUGCCGCCUGGGAAGUACGGUCGCAAGGCUAAAACUUAAAGGAAUUGGCGGGGGAGCACCACAAGGGGUGAAGCCUGCGGUUCAAUUGGAUUCAACGCCGGGAA